CUUUGCGUUUCAUUCAAGGAGCUGAUGUUUCAUCGUAUGGUGGUGAAGGUACGCGUGCAAUUGAGUUGAUUAAUUUGAAAUUUGAUGUGAUUUUUUUUGUUUCUACUGAAAGUGUGAAUAUGUGGAGGAAUAGGGUGUGAUCGUUUGAUUUUAUUUUUUUAUUUUGGACAUUUUUGUGAUUUUUUACAUUGUUUUUGGUGUAACAUAACUGAAAAAUGUGUAGGAACAUGUAUAAUGGAAGUGUAUUUGCUUAAAAGGAUAUUAAUCCUACACAGAUAUACAAAUCAUAUGUCAAUUCUAGAAAGUUCUCAUAAAGCGUCCAUCCAAAAAGAUUCAUAUAUACAUGUUCUCAACAGUUGGAUACUGAAAUAAAUCUUUUGAGUUUAGUUUUUUUGUUUUCUCGUGGAACUGUUAUUUUAGUUGUACAUUUUCAACAACUAAUAACAUGAAAAUUUGGUAACAUAUUGUAAACACGGAAAUUCCUUAAACAAACGAGACAAGAACACGCGUACAAAAUAAUAUUUUGUAUUAAUAAUUUGGGGUUACAAUCUCUUUAUAGUUUGAUCCUCUGAUUCGAUUUCCGUAAGGUGUUGAUUUGUAGAUGUGCAAUUGAUUCAAGGGUCGUCGAGGCUUGAUCUUGGAUGAACGGUUAGAAGUUUCUUAAAGGGCCGUUAGGGCUUGAUCUUGAAGGUUGAGGGAAGUUUCUUCAAGGGCCUUUGGGCUUGAUCUUGAAGGUUGAUGGAUGGACGGAUCUUUAAGGGCUUUUGGGCUUGAUCUUGAAGAAUGGUUGUGUGGAUUUCUUCAAGGGCUUUUGGGCUUGAUAUUGAUGAAUAGUUGGAUGUGUGGAUUUGUUGAUGUUGUUGAUCCAAAGGGCUGUUGGGGCUUGAUCUUAGGAUGAACAGAUGAUGAACAGAUGAUGAACAAUGAACACUUUCUUCAAGGGCCGUUGGAGCUUGAUCUUGAAUUGGUGGAAGUUUUUCAAGGGCCGUCGGAGCUUGAUCUUGAAGAAGGAUUUGAUGAAGAACGAAGAGAGCUUUCUUGAUCCUUCGGGAUUUGCUUGGGAGCUUUGGAGUUUCAAAGCUUCAAGGUUUUGGUGUGAUGUGAAUUGGUUAGGAAUUGGUCUUUUUAAAAUGAAUGCCUUGGCUUCCUAUUUAUAGAAUUCCAAAACUUGAUUUUUGGAUUUAAAUAAUCAGAUGAAA
This 1199-nucleotide long non-coding RNA is filed under the name Malus domestica (apple). RNAcentral's name for it is "long non-coding RNA (MDOM_LNC010707)". Lineage: Eukaryota; Viridiplantae; Streptophyta; Magnoliopsida; Rosales; Rosaceae. The record is from RNAcentral.